This 957-nucleotide long non-coding RNA is filed under the name Ananas comosus (pineapple). Its description in RNAcentral is "long non-coding RNA (ACOM_LNC031161)". Lineage: Eukaryota; Viridiplantae; Streptophyta; Magnoliopsida; Poales; Bromeliaceae. The record is from RNAcentral.
AUGCUAUCCAAAAUAUCGUAUCCAAAUCAAAAAUCUUUUUGAGAAGGGUAAACUACAGAAAAUCUUUUGUAAAUAUCUGAUUUUUUACUUUUCCUUUCCGACAUUUAAAAAUCUAUAUUUUGCUAUCUCACUACAACAAAAACGGUCUAUAGCGACACUUUUAAAUGUAAAUACAUGUCAAAAAAGUGCUGCUAGCUAAAAUUGUCGACACUUUUAAAAAGUAUUGCUAUAUGUGGAGUCGCUAGGUAUAUAGUGACAGUUAAAGAAUGUUGCUAUAACUUAAAAGAGUACUGCUAAUUUACCAAUAUUUAUUUAAGCAUUUAGCAACCGUCGAAACUCUAUCUCGUUGGCUGCGGUGGCGGAGGAGGACGACAGGAAAGGCUUUUCGUCUAGAAUUUCAGUGGAUUGAGUGAAGAGAGAAAAAAAAUGGUAAUUGAUUUUUCUUCUUUUUUUUUUCUUUUCUGUUUGUAAUCGGGCCAAAUGGACUGGGUGUGGUGGGUUCAGUAGAGUAAUCUUUUAUUUUGGUUGGAUUGGGCUUUAUAUUUAGGCAUUAGUAAAUAUUUUUUUAAGUUUUAGCAUAAAUGAGACAUUUACUCAAAAGUGUCCCAAACAUGUGUCCCUAUAACCUAAUUCUGUUAGUGUCUUAAAAUUUUAAAAAUAUUUUCAGAGGGUACGACGUUAAUGGAGAAGGCAAAAUGACCCGAAUGUCAUUACUUCUUCUAUAAAAAAAUAAUUUUUUAAUAUAUUUUUGUUAUUUUGAAUCAUAUUUUUGGUAUAAAUUAUAAGAAAUGGACGGAAUAGUGAUAGAAUGCUGAUGGAGGGGGCUAAAUACAACAACUUAAAAUAUUGACGGGUAAAAUGUAAGUUUUAAAAGUUAGAGAGAGAAAAUGAAAUAAUAGAUAUUUAUAAUGGAGUUUUCUGUAAUUUAGCUUUUGAGAAAAGUAAAUAAAAUCCAAA